RNAcentral lists this ribosomal RNA (468 nucleotides) under uncultured bacterium. RNAcentral's name for it is "partial 16S ribosomal RNA". It matches the Rfam family "Bacterial small subunit ribosomal RNA", at positions 28 to 507 of the family's 1533-position model. The record is from RNAcentral.
GACGAACGCUGGCGGCGUGCUUAACACAUGCCAGUCGAACGGAAAGGCCCUGCUUUUGUGGGGUGCUCGAGUGGCGAACGGGUGAGUAACACGUGAGUAACCUGCCCUUGACUUUGGUAUAACUUCAGGAAACUGGGGCUAAUACCGGAUAGGAGCUCCUGCUGCAUGUUGGGGGUUGGAAAGUUUCGGCGGUUGGGGAUGGACUCGCGGCUUAUCAGCUUGUUGGUGGGGUAGUGGCUUACCAAGGCUUUGACGGGUAGCCGGCCUGAGAGGGUGACCGGCCACAUUGGGACUGAGAUACGGCCCAGACUCCUACGGGAGGCAGCAGUGGGGAAUAUUGCACAAUGGGCGGAAGCCUGAUGCAGCAACGCCGCGUGCGGGAUGACGGCCUUCGGGUUGUAAACCGCUUUCGCCUGUGACGAAGCGUGAGUGACGGUAAUGGGUAAAGAAGCACCGGCUAACUACGUG